GGUCAAGCAAAUAAGCGCACACGGUGGAUGCCUUGGCGAUAAGAGGCGAUGAAGGACGUGGUAGUCUGCGAUAAGCCUCGGCGAGCUGACAAACUAGCUUUGACCCGGGGAUUUCCGAAUGGGGAAACCCACCCGCUUUGCGGGUAUCUUGCGCUGAAUACAUAGGCGCAAGAGGCGAACCCGGGGAACUGAAACAUCUAAGUACCCGGAGGAAAAGAAAUCAACCGAGAUUCCCCCAGUAGCGGCGAGCGAACGGGGAACAGCCCUUAAGCUUUGCAAGUUCUAGUGGAAUGUUCUGGAAAGUUCGGCCAUAGACGGUGACAGCCCCGUACACGAAAGGGCUUGCAAAAGUGAAAUCGAGUAGGACGGAGCACGAGAAACUUUGUCUGAACAUGGGGGGACCAUCCUCCAAGGCUAAAUACUCCUUAUCGACCGAUAGUGAACCAGUACCGUGAGGGAAAGGCGAAAAGAACCCCUGUUAGGGGAGUGAAACAGAACCUGAAACCGUGUGCGUACAAGCAGUGGGAGCCCGUUUUCGAACGGGUGACUGCGUACCUUUUGUAUAAUGGGUCAGCGACUUACAUUUUGUAGCAAGGUUAACCGCAUAGGGGAGCCGCAGAGAAAUCGAGUCUUAAUAGGGCGCUUAGUUGCAGGAUGUAGACCCGAAACCGGGCGAUCUAGCCAUGGCCAGGUUGAAGGUCGGGUAAUGCCGACUGGAGGACCGAACCAACUUAUGUUGAAAAAUGAGUGGAUGAGCUGUGGCUAGGAGUGAAAGGCUAACCAAGCCCGGAGAUAGCUGGUUCUCCCCGAAAACUAUUUAGGUAGUGCCUCGUGUUUCACUUCCGGGGGUAGAGCACUGUAAUGGCUAGGGCCGCAUCUCGCGGUACCAACCCAUUGCAAACUCCGAAUACCGGAAAGUGCAAUCACGGGAGACAGACGGCGGGAGAUAAGUUUCGUCGUCGAAAGGGAAACAGCCCAGACCGCCGGCUAAGGUCCCCAAACACGUCUCAGUGGGAAACGAUGUGGGAAGUCUCAGACAGCCAGGAUGUUGGCUUAGAAGCAGCCAUCAUUUAAAGAAAGCGUAACAGCUCACUGGUCGAGUCGUCCUGCGCGGAAGAUAUACCGGGGCUCAAGACGUGUACCGAAGCCGCGGGUGC
Molecule: ribosomal RNA, 1157 nt
Filed under: Gammaproteobacteria bacterium
Lineage: Bacteria; Pseudomonadati; Pseudomonadota; Gammaproteobacteria
Description: partial 23S ribosomal RNA
Rfam family: Bacterial large subunit ribosomal RNA
Source: RNAcentral